GGCUUAACCAUGCAAGUCGAGGGGCAGCGGGAGCAGCAAUGCUUGCCGGCGACCGGCGCACGGGUGCGUAACGCGUAUGCAACCUGCCUCCAAGCGAGGGAUAAUCCGGCGAAAGCCGUUCUAAUACCUCAUAAUACAGGGAUUCCGCAUGGGAAUAUUGGUUAAAGGAGCAAUCCGCUUGGAGAUGGGCAUGCGUUCCAUUAGGUAGUUGGUUAGGGUAACGGCCUACCAAGCCAUCGAUGGAUAGGGGUUCUGAGAGGAAGGUCCCCCACACUGGUACUGAGACACGGACCAGACUCCUACGGGAGGCAGCAGUGAGGAAUAUUGGUCAAUGGCCGGAAGGCUGAACCAGCCAAGUCGCGUGAAGGAAGAAGGAUCUAUGGUUCGUAAACUUCUUUUACGGGGGGGUAAAGUGCGGUACGCGUACCGUAUUGCAAGUACCCCGUGAAUAAGCAUCGGCUAACUCCGUGCCAGCAGCCGCGGUAAUACGGAGGAUGCGAGCGUUAUCCGGAUUUAUUGGGUUUAAAGGGUGCGUAGGUGGGAUAUUAAGUCGGCGGUGAAAGUUUGUCGCUCAACGAUAAGAUUGCCGUUGAAACUGGUAUCCUUGAGUAGGAUUGGAGCAGGCGGAAUGUGUGGUGUAGCGGUGAAAUGCAUAGAUAUCACGCAGAACUCCGACCGCGAAGGCAGCUUGCUAAGUCCCGACUGACACUGAAGCACGAAAGCGUGGGUAUCAAACAGGAUUAGAUACCCUGGUAGUCCACGCGGUAAACGAUGAUAACUAAUGGUUGGCGAUAGACAGUCAGCCCUACAGCGAAAGCGUUAAGUUAUCCACCUGGGGAGUACGCCGGCCACGGUGAAACUCAAAGGAAWUGACGGGGGCCCGCACAAGCGGAGGAACAUGUGGUUUAAUUAGAUGAUACGCGAGGAACCUUACCCGGGUUUGAACGCAGGAUGAAUGGGAGUGAAAGCUUCCGGUCAGCAAUGACAUUCUGGGAGGUGCUGCAUGGUUGUCGUCAGCUCGUGCCGAGAGGUGUCGGCCAUAAGUGCCAUAACGAGCGCAACCCUUGCCGUCAGUAGCCAUCMMGGGAAGCUGGGGACUCUGACGGGACCGCCGGCGUAAGAUGCGAGGGAGGUGGGGAUGACGUCAAAUCCCCACGGCCCUUACGUCCGGCGCGACACACAUGUUACAAUGGAGGGGACGGAGGGCGGCGAUCCGGAGACGCUGACCGAAUCCUCAAACCCCAUUUCAGUUGGGAUCGAAGUCUGCAACCCGACUUGUUGGAGCCGGAUUCGCUAGUAAUCGAGCAUCAGGCAUGGCGGGGUGAAUCCGUUCCCUGGGCCUCGCGCACACCGCCCGACAGGGACAUGGGAGUCCGGGGAGCACCAAGUC
This 1390-nucleotide ribosomal RNA is filed under the name uncultured bacterium. RNAcentral describes it as "bacterial SSU rRNA". It matches the Rfam family "Bacterial small subunit ribosomal RNA". The record is from RNAcentral.